CCUACGGGUGGCAGCAGUGAGGAAUAUUGGUCAAUGGGCGCGAGCCUGAACCAGCCAAGUCGCGUGAGGGAUGAAGGUCCUAUGGAUCGUAAACCUCUUUUAUAAGGGACUAAAGUGUGGGUCGUGUCCUAUCCUGUAUGUACCUUAUGAAUAAGGAUCGGCUAACUCCGUGCCAGCAGCCGCGGUAAUACGGAGGGUCCGAGCGUUAUCCGGAUUUAUUGGGUUUAAAGGGUGCGUAGGCGGCCUUUUAAGUCAGCGGUGAAAGUCUGUGGCUCAACCGUAGAUUUGCCGUUGAAACGGGGGGGCUUGAGUGUGUUAGGGGCGAGCGGAAUGCGUGGUGUAGCGGUGGAAUGCGUAGAUAUCGCGCAGAACCCCGAUGGCGAAGGCAGCCUG
Molecule: ribosomal RNA, 393 nt
Filed under: uncultured bacterium
Lineage: Bacteria
Description: partial 16S ribosomal RNA
Rfam family: Bacterial small subunit ribosomal RNA
Source: RNAcentral